CCGCAUCUGUGCAUGCAGCAUAUCAAUAAGCGGAGGAAAAGAAACUAACAAGGAUUCCCUUAGUAACGGCGAGUGAAGCGGGAAGAGCUCAAAUUUGAAAUCUUCAAGGUUUUACCUUGACGAAUUGUAGUUUAAAGAAGUGUUUUCUGUUGAAGUUUUGGUAAAAGUUCUUUGGAAUAGGACAUCAUAGAGGGUGAGAAUCCCGUAUUUGACCAUUAUUUUCAGCUGUGUGAUACACUUUCAAAGAGUCGGAUUGUUUGGGAAUGCAGUCCAAAAUGGGUGGUAAAUUUCAUCUAAAGCUAAAUAUUGGCGAGAGACCGAUAGCGAACGAGUACCGUGAGGGAAAGAUGAAAAGAACUUUGAAAAGAGAGUUAAACAGUACGUGAAAUUGUCAAAAGGGAAGCGUUUGACACCAGUGUUGUUUUCUCGAAAAUCAAUUAAAAAGAGUUAGAUUUUGUUGUGUAUUGACCUUAACAGCCUGCAUUUCAAUUUUCUUGCUUUUUUUAAUGCACUUUUCGUUUAACAAGUCAACAUCAGUUUCUUUUGUUGUAAAAAGGUCAUUGGAAGGUGGCUUUCUUUUCGGAGAAAGUGUUUAUAGCCUUUGACUCCUGCAAUCGGAGAGACUGAGGUCUGCAGCAUAGAUCCUUCGGGGUUAGAUACAUUUGUGCUAAGUUAUAGCUUUUUAUAGACAACUUGUUGACUAUGAUUAGUCUUGUAGCUUACUCGCUUAUGCUAUUUUACCUACGCUUAGGAUGUUGAUGUGAUACUGCGAGCA
RNAcentral lists this ribosomal RNA (775 nucleotides) under uncultured Neocallimastigales. RNAcentral's name for it is "partial large subunit ribosomal RNA". It matches the Rfam family "Eukaryotic large subunit ribosomal RNA", at positions 25 to 640 of the family's 3401-position model. The record is from RNAcentral. Lineage: Eukaryota; Fungi; Neocallimastigomycota; Neocallimastigomycetes; Neocallimastigales.